ACCUUUACUAUAGCUUCACAGUGGACUCUGAUAUUACUUGUGUAGGAUAGCUGGGAGGCUUUGAAACCUAGGCGCUAGCUUAGGUGGAGCCAAUCUUGAAAUACCAGCCUGGUACUAUUGGGGUUCUAACUCUGGACCAUUAUCUGGUUCGAGGACAUUGUGUGGUGGGUAGUUUGACUGGGGCGGUCUCCUCCCAAAGCGUAACGGAGGAGUACGAAGGUACGCUAGGUACGGUCGGAAAUCGUGCUGAUAGUGCAAUGGCAUAAGCGUGCUUAACUGCGAGACUGACAAGUCGAGCAGAUGCGAAAGCAGGACAUAGUGAUCCGGUGGUUCUGUAUGGAAGGGCCAUCGCUCAACGGAUAAAAGGUACUCCGGGGAUAACAGGCUGAU
RNAcentral lists this ribosomal RNA (390 nucleotides) under Chaetoceros affinis. RNAcentral describes it as "partial Bacterial large subunit ribosomal RNA". It matches the Rfam family "Bacterial large subunit ribosomal RNA", at positions 2097 to 2486 of the family's 2925-position model. Lineage: Eukaryota; Bacillariophyta; Thalassiosirophyceae; Chaetocerotales; Chaetocerotaceae. The record is from RNAcentral.